UGAGGUUUCAAAGGUUGCUAGGGGA
RNAcentral lists this non-coding RNA (25 nucleotides) under Rattus norvegicus (Norway rat). The record is from RNAcentral. Lineage: Eukaryota; Metazoa; Chordata; Mammalia; Rodentia; Muridae.